This 29-nucleotide non-coding RNA is filed under the name Rattus norvegicus (Norway rat). Lineage: Eukaryota; Metazoa; Chordata; Mammalia; Rodentia; Muridae. The record is from RNAcentral.
UAGUGUCAAUUAUUGCUUUUAGAGCAGGA